AAAGUCUCAAUAUAUCCCUGUCAAGAGUCUUGCAGAAAAAGGGGAUAAGAUGGUGUCAGAAUAUCUACGUACUGAUUAAAUACAUGUUGAUACUUGCUAAGAUAUUGCAAUACAUCACCAGUUAAAACGAGAUAAACUUGGUUAAAAGCCUAUCUCAUGAUUGAUGAUUACUAGUCAUUAGAAUUUACUCUAUGAACUAGAAAUUACUAUGGACAAAAUUGAAAGGAAAUCAACCAACAUUUAUCCAAGAGAAACGCCAACUAAUAAGUUACAUUUUUCGAUGCACUAAUAUCCUUUGAAAUAAUGGGGAUGAUCCAAUAACCCCAAUAAUGCGGUUAACUAUUUCAAGAUAGUCCCAUGCGUCCUUUAAAUGUGCAUUGAAUUUCUAUGAUAAAAUGCUAGCUGAAAGUCAGACUUUGUUUCUUAACACACUCGUAUCUCGCAAUGUGAGAAGCGAUAGAGGAUGGUGGACACUUGCUAGAUGAGUUUGCCUGCAUACGCACAGAAGAUGGCUGCUCCUUGCAAGUGGUUAAUUAGAGGCAUGACUGUAGAUGAUUAGGAAAGGAGGUUGGAUUUUGG
This 579-nucleotide long non-coding RNA is filed under the name Phoenix dactylifera (date palm). Its description in RNAcentral is "long non-coding RNA (PDAC_LNC007757)". Lineage: Eukaryota; Viridiplantae; Streptophyta; Magnoliopsida; Arecales; Arecaceae. The record is from RNAcentral.